CCUACGGGUGGCUGCAGUCGAGAAUCAUUCACAAUGGGGGAAACCCUGAUGGUGCGACGCCGCGUGGGGGAAUGAAGGUCUUCGGAUUGUAAACCCCUGUCAUGUGGGAGCAAAUUAAAAAGAUAGUACCACAAGAGGAAGAGACGGCUAACUCUGUCCCAGCAGCCGCGGUAAUACAGAGGUCUCAAGCGUUGUUCGGAAUCACUGGGCGUAAGGCGUGCGUAGGCUGUUUCGUAAGUCGUGUGUGAAAGGCGCGGGCUCAACCCGCGGACGGCACAUGAUACUUCGAGACUAGAGUAAUGGAGGGGGAACCGGAAUUCUCGGUGUAGCAGUGAAAUGCGUAGAUAUCGAGAGGAACACUCGUGGCGAAGGCGGGUUCCUGGACAUUAACUGACGCUGAGGCACGAAGGCCAGGGGAGCGAAAGGGAUUAGAUACCCGAGUAGUC
Molecule: ribosomal RNA, 446 nt
Filed under: uncultured bacterium
Lineage: Bacteria
Description: partial 16S ribosomal RNA
Rfam family: Bacterial small subunit ribosomal RNA
Source: RNAcentral